This 99-nucleotide microRNA precursor is filed under the name Selaginella moellendorffii. RNAcentral's name for it is "miR1096 stem-loop (smo-MIR1096)". Lineage: Eukaryota; Viridiplantae; Streptophyta; Lycopodiopsida; Selaginellales; Selaginellaceae. The record is from miRBase by way of RNAcentral.
UAUGGGGAAUUUCUGAAGCAAGGCGGCAGCAAGAAACCUCCAUGAGAGACUCUCAUGGAGGUAUUUUGCUGCCUCUUUGCUUCAGGAAUUCUCUCCAAA